RNAcentral lists this ribosomal RNA (402 nucleotides) under uncultured bacterium. Its description in RNAcentral is "bacterial SSU rRNA". It matches the Rfam family "Bacterial small subunit ribosomal RNA", at positions 355 to 774 of the family's 1533-position model. The record is from RNAcentral.
UGGGGGAUAUUGCACAAUGGGGGAAACCCUGAUGCAGCAAUGCCGCGUGAAGGAAGAAGGUCUUCGGAUUGUAAACUUCUGUCCUAUGGGAAGAUAAUGACGGUACCAUAGGAGGAAGCUCCGGCUAACUACGUGCCAGCAGCCGCGGUAAUACGUAGGGAGCAAGCGUUAAUCGGAAUCACUGGGCGUAAAGCGCGCGUAGGCGGCUUUUCAAGUCAGGGGUGAAAUCCCACGGCCCAACCGUGGAACUGCCUUUGAAACUGGGAGGCUUGAGUGUCGGAGAGGGUGGCGGAAUUCCAGGUGUAGGAGUGAAAUCCGUAGAUAUCUGGAGGAACACCGGUGGCGAAGGCGGCCACCUGGACGACAACUGACGCUGAGGUGCGAAAGCGUGGGUAGCAAACA